RNAcentral lists this ribosomal RNA (259 nucleotides) under uncultured bacterium. Its description in RNAcentral is "partial 16S ribosomal RNA". It matches the Rfam family "Bacterial small subunit ribosomal RNA", at positions 333 to 585 of the family's 1533-position model. The record is from RNAcentral.
UUGGGCCUACGGGAGGCAGCAGUAGGGAAUCUUCGGCAAUGGACGAAAGUCUGACCGAGCAACGCCGCGUGAGUGAAGAAGGUUUUCGGAUCGUAAAACUCUGUUGGUAGAGAAGAACGUUGGUGAGUGGAAAGCUCAUCAAGUGACGGUAACUACCCAGCAAGGGACGGCUAACUACGUGCCGGCAGCCGCGGUAAUAUGUAGGUCCCGAGCGUUGUCCGGAUUUAUUGGGCGUAAAGCGAGCGCAGGUGGUUUAUUA